AAGACUCAAGAGAGUAACGACUAAUCUGAAUCAGUAGCAACAAGAAUAUGGAUGGUAGUAUGAAAUCAUCUUUCUGGAACUGGACCCAUCGCAGCAACUCAAAUGAUGCAAGUCUGAUGCAGAACAUACUCUUGUGUUUUCCCCAUUUUGGAACCUGGACAGCAAACAAGCUCUAUGGCCAAUCAAUCACUGGCACGGCACAUUCAGGUAAAUGAACACAUCACCAGAAUAAAAUGUUCUUGUUUUGACUCCUUGAUUCAGCUGCAAUCUUAUCAGCGGCAACAAUUUAACGUUUCACGAUGCAAAAUGUUGAAUUCUUCACUGAUAAUCAUAGCUGCCAUCCCUUCGGAUCUAUAUCCACCUGCUACGUACAUAAUUUAAUGCAAAAAUCAGUACAAGUAAGAUGAUACUACACAUGUUAGAGAGCAUCUUGCAAGUAUAAGCUUCAACUAUCAGAAUUAUUUCUUUAUCUUGCAAAAAAAUUUACAGCCAGCAGUUCCUUCAUUUGAUUUUUGCGUGUAAGCUAAGAUUAUACAAACUAGUUGAUUAGCAUCAUUGUCCAAUAAGCGGAAGGGAGGAUACAAGAAUUUUGCAUCAAUAUACUAGUUUAUGCACCCCCCCCCUCCCCCACCAAAAAAAAAUGGUAAAUGAAUAUACAAACAAAAAACAAAACCUAGAAUCUGCCAGCAUGCAGAUCAAUCCUUCACAAGUGACCGGCACACUGAAGAAGGAUAGACAUAUUUGUACGCUUCGUAACUUUUAUAGUUGCCAUUUUCAGAAGCACAAGAAUACUCAUCUUUCUUCCAGAAACAUCUAGAAGUUCCAAAUCUACAUCACUAACGGUUAGCUAUCAGUUCAACAUAUUGCAAUACUAAAAUUGCAGCUUCUACAAACAGGUACAGUUGCAGCUAUUGGAAGAAGUGGAAAAGAAAGUUGAAGCAUCUUCAGUUUUCGAGUAAUACAAGAAUCCGGGAAAAGCUUAAUUUUUACCCGUUUUCAUUGUAUAAAAGUAAAAAGUUGGCCCCGGGUUCCGAAGCUGUUUGAAAACUAAGAUACAAGAUAAGAGAGCGCUAAUGAAACCCACAGGGUUUUGGCUGAAUGAAGAAAAUGAAUAGUCAAUACCAGUAGAAAUCACUUUCAAAACUGAAACAGUGAUAAUUGCAUGCCACUACUGAAAUGUAAAUAAAACGAAAACCUGAAAUGCUUUAUUUCUCCAGUGAAAGAUGCAGCCACGAGCUUCUACGUGAUUCAGGAGAGCCUGAGGCAUUGAUGCUUUAAAGGUUGAGUGAAGCUUCACUUUUCUCAGUCCCUGACAAGCUAACAGAGCAGCACCAAGCCCACUGGCAGUCAGUCCAGUUACAUGCAAGAUAGUCAUGCUGUGCAAGUGGUU
Molecule: long non-coding RNA, 1390 nt
Filed under: Coffea arabica (coffee)
Lineage: Eukaryota; Viridiplantae; Streptophyta; Magnoliopsida; Gentianales; Rubiaceae
Description: long non-coding RNA (CARA_LNC000357)
Source: RNAcentral